GCACUGCUGAGGAGUCCAAUACUAGGACAAAACGGCCGUCCAGUUC
RNAcentral lists this non-coding RNA (46 nucleotides) under Schistosoma haematobium. Lineage: Eukaryota; Metazoa; Platyhelminthes; Trematoda; Strigeidida; Schistosomatidae. The record is from RNAcentral.